GGUUGCAUCUCAGAGGAGAGAGAAGAGACUAGGAAUUUGUGGCAGUUCGGGAACACAAAUCUUUAUUUACAUGGACGCCUCAGAGUUGGGUGAAAGCACAGCAGUUCGGGCCACGUGGAGCUAGCAAAAUGGCCGCCUCCUAUGUGCAGCAACCCUCCUCUGAGUUAGGUCAUGGAGGAGAAAAAGGAAGCAAGAGAAAGAAAGUGGAAGCAGCAGGGCUUUUAAGGGAGAAAUUCCGGAAGUGGCAAGUUGGGACAGGAUUGGCUAGAAAAAGGGGGUGGAGAAAACAAGGCAUUCUGGGAAGCUAGGGUUUCAGCUCUAGCAGGAAUGGGCGAUACUCUGAGGGUAUCUGUACAAUUACCCAACACCUCCCCCUUUCUUUGUAUCUAAUGGCCAUAGAAUAGGAAAUUUAGAGCGGAGUAGGCUUAAAUGUUUUUUAAGGAAUGCCAAGCUCCGGUGGGAAGAUGUAGGAUGUUUCUGUGGGGGAGGGAAGACUUACAUAGCCACCAACCUUGGGAGAUUUAUGUGUCCCCCCUUUUGCUCAACCCCUCUGUAGAGAGACUUACCUGGAGGGACUCAUAGGUUAAGCUCUGCCAGGCUCCACCAUCUCACAAUUUUUUCUACAUCUUUCCCUAUCUUCCUAUCUAGUUGUCACAUUAAAAUGGGUCAAUGUCUGUAAAAGACUCCAUUUAUAACAGGAAUAGUAGUGUAGGGGUGAACAGAAACCAUUUGGACAUAAACCUAAAUAUCAUGCAGGCAUUUUAAAAAUAACUGGAACAAGACAGGAAGGGACAAGUAGGAGAGCAGCAAGAGCCAGUGUGAUGCCAAGAGGAGGCCUGUUGGGCAAAAGGGUGUUUCCUGCCUCUGGGGCCAGGGCCUAGUAAUGGGGUGUCUCCUGCCUCUGGGGGCAGGGCCUAGUAAUGAGGGGUUGUUUCCUGCAUCUGGAGGCAGGGCUUGCAGUCGAGGGGCAUGGCCUAUAGAGUCCCAAGACAGAAACCUAUAAUGUCCAUGAACUGCUGCGGUCAGUCUUUGAGAAACCUGGCAGCGUAAAGAGAAGCUGUUGUAAAGCGGUGUAAAGUGUUCAAGAGGUGUACCAGCAAAUCCGAUAGAAGCAUCAGUCCAAUGUUGACGACCAGGGGAAGAAAUGUCAGGGGUUGAAACGCUGCAUGUCUAUCUCGAUGGGGAAGGUCAGCCACCAGAACUUUGUUUCUCUGUAGAGAGUGAGCUGGAACUACCAAAACGUGACAGGCGAAGCAGAAGCAGGAAGGGCAGACAGUGAUGGGAGAGAGAAAAGGCAGUAAGAAAGUUCUGUCCUUGGAGUCUGUGAAUCAGGUUCUUCAGAUCAUGUGUCUCAGGGGGUGUGCUCAGGGUCUCAGGGUGUAGUCAUGUCAUCUUGUGGGCGAAGUCAGAGGACGGGUCCAAAUGGAUUUCCAGGGAUUCCUGUGAAACACGAAUCUUCCUGUGGUUAGCAGGGCAUCUGGUUCGAAUUUUUAUAGAUAUUAAAAGAGGUUUAAUGUAGUUUGUGCCUUAGCCAACUGAAUAUUGGGUGGAUGUAUCCCCCCUUCUUUUUUAUUUAAUUGGGCCUAGGUGUUUGGCGGGCCUUUUCAACAACUAUUUGUCUUUGGGGGUUGUAAGGGAUAUCUGUGGCAUGAGUGAUGUUAUAAAGGAGAAAAAAAAUCUUUAAAUUGUUAGCUGACAAAGGCAGGCCUAUCGUGGUAAAAUGAGAUACACCAGUUAAGUGUAGAAAAAUAUGCGAAUGUUGUUAAUUUAUAUAAGUUGUAUAUGGAGGAACGUCUUAUAGUUUAAUACCUUACCAUAUGAGCAGAUGUUUCUUCAUAUGAAGGCUUUGACAUAGUUGUAGUCAAUUACUUGUGAAGAAAAAAAACUUUUAACAAGUUAGAAGUUUAUUAUAAUUGAUAACUCGAUUAUAAUUGGUUAAAGUAUCUUUAUAAUUUUGUUAACAGGUCAUCUUAUGUGACCUCGUGUAGCAGUCUCUGUACAGCAGGUUCUUCAGACCAAAUUUAGUUAAAAUAUAUAUUGAUUUUCUACUAUUUUUUACUUUUGGCGUAUGAAGCCAUUCUAGAAUGCCAUGAUUCUGCCGCAGUGCCCCCACUACCGUGGGGGUGGAGUUAAAGAUUAGAAGAUUUACUGGACAGGAGGGGGAGAACCAAACAAGGUGCAUGUCUUGGAGAGCCUGGUUAACCCUUUCCAGUGCCAAGGAGGCUUCGGGGGUUAACAUAUGCUUUGAGGAGGGCUAUUUGUUUCCUUUAAACAGAUCAAACAGUGGUUGGAGGCAGCUAGUAGGGAGAUAAAGAUACUGCCUAAGCCAAUUUAAAUUUCCAAGAAAACUUUGUAAAGAAGCAAGAGUGAGAUUAGAAGGAAAAGUAACACAAGGUUUUAAAGGAUGAAUUUACAUUAGGGAAAUCUCUGAGCCUAAGAAAGAUAUUGGAGGAAUUAGCUGUACCUUCUCAGGAGCUACAUUAAGGCCGGUUUUCUUUAAGGCAGGGAUAAGAAAAUCACAUAGGGCAGAGAGAUCUAUAUCUAAUUCUCCCUAAAUUAAGACAUCAUCCAUAUAAUGAAAAAACAUAAGGCCCUUAUGUAUAUAUAUGGGAAAAGGGCAGAUUUAACAGCCUCUUGACAAAUAAUAGGACUAUUGGCCAUGCCUUGGGGCAGUACCACCCAUUCAAGUGUAUUGGCAGGACUGGCAUUAUUAAUAGAAGGGACAGAGAAGGCAAAGUGCUUACAAUCUUGUAGGUGCAAGGGAAUAGAGAAAAAACAAUCCUGUAUAUCAAUAGCUAUGAUUGGAAUUCCCAUGGGAAUUGCAGAAGAAAGAGGCAAACCCCUUUGGGUGGAGCCCCAGACCUGCUUGGUUUUAUUAACCACACGGAUAUCUUGGAGGAGGCACCAUUUUCCCGAGCACUUCUUAAUCACAAAGACAGGAGUAUUCCAUGGACUCUGGGAAUGAUGAAUGUGUCCCAAGGACAACUGCUCUUGGAUGAGCUCUUUUAAAAUUUCUAGCUUCUCCCUAGGCAAAGGCCACUGUUCCACCCAGACAGGCUCAUUAGAAAGCCAAUCUAAGUGGGGAGUUUGGUUACGAAAAGUGGCAGUUAGUAUUGGGGGUGCUGGUUAGAUCUAGAAUUCUCGAAGAAGUGGGUGUGGCACCCUGCAGAGGCGUCUGAGGAUAUUAGUACAUCAAGAGAUUCCAGCAAGUCUCUGCCCAAUAAGUUGGUGCUAAUAUCAGCUAUCAAAAGACACUAUUUAUCACAAAUAAAAAAUAGUUGGAAAAAGUAGAAAAUCCAUAAGCCAACACACUCAUCAAUGAUGGUUAUAUAGUUCUACACUACACCCACCACCAAUAUUUUGUGCACCCACUAUAUUAAGGAUAUGUGCCAUAGAUCUCCCAAUGUCUUAGAGACAGUUUGCUACAGUUCGAAUCCUUAUUUCUUCAUUUUUGUUUUUGGAAAUUUCAUGUUUCAGUUUUUAUAUCCACAUGAAGUAGUCUUUUAUUUCUUUUUUUUUUUAAAGAUUUUACUUAUUUAUUGAUGAGGAAGAUAGUAAGAGAGAGAAAGAACCAGACAUCACUCUGGUACAUGUGCUUCCAGGGACUGAACUCAGGACCUUAUGGUUGAGUCCAAUGCUUUAUCCACUGUGCCAUCUCCUGGACCACUCUUUUAUUUCUUUGCAUAGUUUGAUAAACAUAAAAGCAUCGAUGUCUGGAGCUGAGUAGUAGUACACCUAGUUAAGUACACACAUUAUAAAGUGUAAGGAUCUGAGUUCAAGUCCCCCCACUCCCCACCAGCAGGGGGUCCACUUCAUUAGUGGUGAAGCAGGUCUACAGGUGUAUAUCUUUCACUCCCUCUAUCUCUGCACCCUCUUUCAAUUUAUCUCUGUUCUACAGCCCUGUAUAAUAAAAAUUAUAAAGAGAAACAAAUAGGUGCCAGGAGUGGUGAAUUCAUAGUACUGGCAUCAAGCUCCAGAAAUAAAUUUGAUGACAAAAAACAAUAGCAAAACUCCAACUCCAGCCAUUCAGUAACAGAUGACACAAUAUCAUCUUUUUUGCAUUACAGAGUAGUAUUCCAUAACAUAUAUAUCCUUUAACACUUUUAUUCAUUCAUAUGUCUGAACAUUUAUGAUGCUUCCACUCUUGGCUAUUGCAAAUAAUAAACAUAUGAGUUCAUAUCUCCCUUCAAAUUAGGAACACACUGACUUUGCUUAGAAGUUGUCUGAUUACCUUUUCCCCCCACAACCAGGGCUUUCCAGCAUCUGCCCUUUGCCUUAUUUUAUUUUAAAUUUUAUUUAUUUUAUUUUUUGCUGGGUUAUUGCUGGGGCUCUACACCUGAUAGAGAACAUUUUCUCCCCAUUUUGUUAAUCUUGUUGUCAUAGUUAUUGCUGUUGGUCAGUACAGAGAGAAAUCCAGAGAGGAGAUGAAGACAGAGAGGAAGAGAGAAAGAUAGACAUCUACAGACCAGCUUCACCACCUGUGAAGGAACCCUCCUUGAGGCUCACUCUGGGUUCUCCACCUUCUAGUGACUGGAGACAGGGAUUGGAGCGACCCCUGAAAGUCUUAGGGGGCUCUGGUGUCAAGGGUAACAUGCGUGAAGAGGAAAGCCAAGCCAGACUUAGCGGGCUCUGGGAGAAGCCUCUGAGGGAUGACUCAUUUAUUGAGAGAUACAAGCAAGUAGAUAUAACCCACAGUCGAGAGAGAAGGUUGAGGUCAUCAUUAACCCAAAAAUUAACCCAAACACAAUACAUAGUUACAUCUUGACCUACAAAGUAUUUGAUCACAACUGGAAAGUUACCGUAUAAGGUUUUGUCAUGAGCUCACAAUAUAUGGAUAGGCAUUUUUUUCUCAGGAAAAAUUACAGGCACUUCAGGGCAGGGGGGAACAUUUGAAGAGAGCCAGGAUAUUUGCAGUGGGCUUCAAGUAAGCCAUACACAGUAAUUUAUGGCCUUUGUUUAACGGGGAUAGGGUGGGAAGGUAUGUACAGGAAGGUACCCAGUCUGAAGAAGCCAUCCAUCAUAGGUUCACAAGGUCAAGGGGACCAGCCUAACACAUGCCCCCCAGAAAAGGAGGUGAACUCGGGGGUCAACUCUCUUAGACUCUCAUGGAAACAAUGGUCUGGACUUCCUGGACAGUUGACCAAUUCCCUACACCACCUGUAGAUGGGGAGCUGAAGGUUCAAACUGGGAACCUCCUGGUCCUUGCGUUUCAUACCAUGUGCACUUAACCCACUGCACUACCACCUGAACCCCAUGUAAGGACUUCAACUGUGAGCUCCACCUUGGCCACCCAGUGACCUGCCAGUAUCAAUCAGUUCCAGGAAAAUUCUUGACCCAUUGGAGUACCAGUGCACUUAAGAAGUAUUCUUUAAGAAAGAGGGAGUAGAGGGUGUGGAUUUCUCCGCAAAGGAAGUGUGGAGGGUCCAUAGGGGGAGUUCUAAAAUUAACUACCUAUAUUAGCUUCUGUCCCCUGCUUGCUUGUGAAAUUUGUGAUUUUUGACUCUGUAACCUGCUGUGUAACAAGAGCCAGUACUGUUCUCUGAACAGCACUUUGUUGGAAAUAUGGUCACAAGAUGGGAAAUAAAGACUCAUUAAUAGA
This is a long non-coding RNA of Erinaceus europaeus (western European hedgehog), 5599 nucleotides long. RefSeq lists it as uncharacterized. Lineage: Eukaryota; Metazoa; Chordata; Mammalia; Eulipotyphla; Erinaceidae. The record is from RefSeq and is a predicted model, not a curated record. The transcript has 2 exons.